Molecule: ribosomal RNA, 253 nt
Filed under: uncultured bacterium
Lineage: Bacteria
Description: partial 16S ribosomal RNA
Rfam family: Bacterial small subunit ribosomal RNA
Source: RNAcentral
UACAGAGACUGCGAGCGUUAUUCGGAUUCACUGGGCGUAAAGGGCGCGUAGGCGGCAAUUCAAGUCAGCUGUGAAAUCUCCGGGCUUAACUCGGAACGGUCAGCUGAUACUGCUUUGCUAGAGUGCGGAAGGGGCAAUCGGAAUUCUCGGUGUAGCGGUGAAAUGCGUAGAUAUCGAGAGGAACACCUGAGGUGAAGACGGGUUGCUGGGCCGACACUGACGCUGAGGCGCGAAAGCCAGGGUAGCAAACGGG